RNAcentral lists this transfer RNA (71 nucleotides) under Marmota marmota marmota (Alpine marmot). It matches the Rfam family "tRNA". From Rfam's summary of the family: Transfer RNA (tRNA) molecules are approximately 80 nucleotides in length. Their secondary structure includes four short double-helical elements and three loops (D, anti-codon, and T loops). Further hydrogen bonds mediate the characteristic L-shaped molecular structure. tRNAs have two regions of fundamental functional importance: the anti-codon, which is responsible for specific mRNA codon recognition, and the 3' end, to which the tRNAs corresponding amino acid is attached (by aminoacyl-tRNA synthetases). tRNAs cope with the degeneracy of the genetic code in two manners: having more than one tRNA (with a specific anti-codon) for a particular amino acid; and 'wobble' base-pairing, i.e. permitting non-standard base-pairing at the 3rd anti-codon position. Lineage: Eukaryota; Metazoa; Chordata; Mammalia; Rodentia; Sciuridae. The record is from Rfam by way of RNAcentral. RNAcentral also lists the same sequence under 1 other name.
GUGGCUGUGGCUCAGUGGUAGAGCACUAGCCUAGCAUAUGCGAGGCACUGGGUUCAAUCCUCAGCACCACA